Molecule: transfer RNA, 83 nt
Filed under: Caldilineaceae bacterium SB0661_bin_34
Lineage: Bacteria; Bacillati; Chloroflexota; Caldilineae; Caldilineales; Caldilineaceae
Also listed under: 5 other names
Description: tRNA-Sec
Source: RNAcentral
AUGUGUCCCGGUGGGCACCCUGGUCUUCAACACCAGUGGCAGGCAGUGCUGAGCUGGCUGCGGUGGGUUCGACUCCCAUGCCA